RNAcentral lists this small RNA (587 nucleotides) under Pan troglodytes (chimpanzee). RNAcentral's name for it is "processed transcript". The record is from RNAcentral. Lineage: Eukaryota; Metazoa; Chordata; Mammalia; Primates; Hominidae.
AGUAAAUUCUAGCCAUACAGGACCCAGACACUCUUUGUCCAGCUCUGUUUUCCCAGUGUCUCCUGGGGAGUGAUUCAGGGCCAAGGUGACAGUGGGUUUGGAGCCCAGAUGAAAGGAUCGCAGGGACCACAAGACAAGAUCCCUUGUGUGGUGGCCGGCUGGAAAGAGGAGGGAGUGAGUGUGUGUGGAGUUAAAAGAUAUACCCAUCAAAACUGGAGACCCGGCAUAUUGGCCUAGAACUCUACACGCUGCAUUGGUCUCUUUUUAUCAUGAAACUGCCAGAGGCAUGCAGCAUUGGUGAUGGAAAGCCCUUUGUCAUGAAUCUGCAGAAUCUGUAUAUGGCAGUCACCAAACAAGAGGUCCAAGUGGGACAGAAGCAUCAAGGCACUGGAGAUCCUCAUACCUCAAACAGUGCUUCCCUGCAAGGAAUCGAUAGCCAAUGUGUAAACCAGCCAGAACAACUGGUCUCCUCAGCCCCAACCCUCUCAGCACCUGAGAAAGAGUCCACGGGUACUUCAGGCCCUCUGCAGAGACCUCAGCUGUCAAAGGUCAAGAGGAAGAAGCCAAGGGGUCUCUUCAGUUAAUCU